RNAcentral lists this unclassified non-coding RNA (189 nucleotides) under uncultured Basidiomycota. RNAcentral describes it as "sequence contains ITS2". Lineage: Eukaryota; Fungi; Basidiomycota. The record is from RNAcentral.
UAAUCCAUCACUCUUGAAUUGUUAACUCAGUUCAUGUCGGUGGAUUUGGGUGCUGCCGUUGUUGGCUCGCCUUGAAAUGCAUUAGCAUUGGCUCUCGUAUGAGAUUUAUCGCGGUGUGAUAGUUCUUUGCAUCGUUGAUCUUGUGCGUGCUGAAGCUUACAGUCGUCCUUUGCGGGACAAUUAUUCGAA